CUCAACAACAGAUAUCUUUACUCUUGCAUUGAUGAACAAUAAAGUGAAAUGUGAUACUUGGUGUAAAGUGCAUAAUCCCGUGAACCAUUGAGUUUUGAAUGCAAGUUGUGCCCAAAGCCUCCUGGCUAAGGGCACGUCUGUCUGGGCAUCAUA
Molecule: ribosomal RNA, 153 nt
Filed under: Begonia palmata
Lineage: Eukaryota; Viridiplantae; Streptophyta; Magnoliopsida; Cucurbitales; Begoniaceae
Description: 5.8S ribosomal RNA
Rfam family: 5.8S ribosomal RNA
About the family: 5.8S ribosomal RNA (5.8S rRNA) is a component of the large subunit of the eukaryotic ribosome.
Source: RNAcentral